ACUCGUUUCAAGAUGAGAUCUGCCGGGGCCUUGAGCCCCCUAAAGAGUCGUUCAAGACCAGGACGUUGAUAGGUCAGGUGUGGAAGCGCAGUAAUGCGUUAAGCUAACUGAUACUAAUUGCUCGUGCGGCUUGACCCUAUAACUUUG
RNAcentral lists this ribosomal RNA (147 nucleotides) under Limnohabitans sp. RNAcentral describes it as "partial 23S ribosomal RNA". It matches the Rfam family "Bacterial large subunit ribosomal RNA", at positions 2792 to 2925 of the family's 2925-position model. The record is from RNAcentral. Lineage: Bacteria; Pseudomonadati; Pseudomonadota; Betaproteobacteria; Burkholderiales; Comamonadaceae.